Molecule: long non-coding RNA, 883 nt
Organism: Tympanuchus pallidicinctus (lesser prairie-chicken)
Lineage: Eukaryota; Metazoa; Chordata; Aves; Galliformes; Phasianidae
Exons: 3
Source: RefSeq, a predicted model, not a curated record
CGCUUCGAGCCACCGCGUCUCCGCUCCCAAGAAAUGCCUUCCGAAAGCCCUCCGCGGACCGGGGACUGAAGCCGACGCUAAUCGCUGUGCCCGCGCUUUCGGGCAACAGGCUGCCGCUCCUGGGCUCAGCCUUGCCGUCCAGGCCUCAGGGAUGAGGUCCGUGAGGCAUAAGCAACAGCUCGCAAUCAAGGACCACCCUAUCCAUGAUUCAGCUUUCAAAUGUCAUCCUUCUUAAUUUGCACACCGGUCACUUUGCUUCUAUUUACAAAUGAACUAAGAAGGUUCUCCCUCCCCCCCAAGAAAAGAACAUAUUAACUGCUGCAGAAGAUCGUUGCUGCCUCUUGCUGCUAGAAAACUCAUUCUUCCAUACCAAGCAUCUCAAAAUGUGAAAAAGCAUCAAAAAGUGAAAGCAUCUCUGGGGCCAUCCUCAGCACGUGGUUCUUUCUCAUUAAAUAAUUCUCACAGCAAUCUUACUUCCUCACAACUUGUUAUACCUUAAAAUACUGGCAUCUUAAACCUGUGCAUUUAGUUCUCCAGAUUAAAAAAGGUUUUGGCAUUAUGAUGCACAACUGUCAGUCUUUAAGUAUACCGUCACUACAUACUAUGAUCUAAAACCCUACCAAAAACACUUCCAGAGUCCUUAAAUCAAGAGCCAAGGCAGUUAUCUCAGCCAAGUUUGAAAAAUCAGUGCACUUUACAUACACAAGCACCCAAGUGAAGUGACCCAGUUAUCCCCUGUCACUGUGACUGACAAAAUCCAAGGCCAUCAGCUGAACCCACCUUGUACCAACUGUCUGUUGCCAUCCUGGACCAAAAGCACAGAAGCAUUGCAGCACGCCCCCAGUCCCUCUGUGUGAGACCUGCACCCUACCCUGCUCCUGGC